This 73-nucleotide transfer RNA is filed under the name Myotis brandtii (Brandt's bat). It matches the Rfam family "tRNA". From Rfam's summary of the family: Transfer RNA (tRNA) molecules are approximately 80 nucleotides in length. Their secondary structure includes four short double-helical elements and three loops (D, anti-codon, and T loops). Lineage: Eukaryota; Metazoa; Chordata; Mammalia; Chiroptera; Vespertilionidae. The record is from Rfam by way of RNAcentral.
ACCCGUUUGGCUCAGUGGAUAGAGCGUCAGCCUUCGGGCUGAAGGGUCCCAGGUUCAAUUCCUGUCAGGGGCA